This 497-nucleotide ribosomal RNA is filed under the name uncultured bacterium. RNAcentral's name for it is "partial 16S ribosomal RNA". It matches the Rfam family "Bacterial small subunit ribosomal RNA", at positions 28 to 507 of the family's 1533-position model. The record is from RNAcentral.
GAUGAACGCUGGCGGCGUGCCUAAUACAUGCAAGUGGAGCGAACGGACGAGAAGCUUGCCUCUCUGAUGUUAGCGGCGGACGGGUGAGUAACACGUGGAUAACCUACCUAUAAGACUGGGAUAACUUCGGGAAACCGGAGCUAAUACCGGAUAAUAUUUUGAACCGCAUGGUUCAAAAGUGAAAGACGGUCUUGCUGUCACUUAUAGAUGGAUCCGCGCUGCAUUAGCUAGUUGGUAAGGUAACGGCUUACCAAGGCAACGAUGCAUAGCCGACCUGAGAGGGUGAUCGGCCACACUGGAACUGAGACACGGUCCAGACUCCUACGGGAGGCAGCAGUAGGGAAUCUUCCGCAAUGGGCGAAAGCCUGACGGAGCAACGCCGCGUGAGUGAUGAAGGUCUUCGGAUCGUAAAACUCUGUUAUUAGGGAAGAACAUAUGUGUAAGUAACUGUGCACAUCUUGACGGUACCUAAUCAGAAAGCCACGGCUAACUACGUG